Molecule: long non-coding RNA, 642 nt
Organism: Oryza sativa Japonica Group (Japanese rice)
Lineage: Eukaryota; Viridiplantae; Streptophyta; Magnoliopsida; Poales; Poaceae
Source: RefSeq, a predicted model, not a curated record
CUCCUCCUCCUCCUCAACCUCGCUCUCUCUCUCCCCCUCCCCCCUCUCUCUCUCUGUCUCGCGGGAGAGGACACAAGAGCCAGUAGGCGAUGGCCCAGCAAUGGUGGUGGCCCCCUCCCCUCCGCUAGAUCCGGUGAGAGGGGAGGCACCGGCAGCCCGACGGGAAGGGAGGCGAUGGUUGCCAAGAAGGGAGGAAGAGAGGCGCAUUCACCGAGCGGUCUCCCCGUACGCCUCCGACUCGUUCUCCUCUCUCCAGCAGCCCGGCGGUGUUGCUGUCUCUUCCGCUAGAUCCGGCGGGAGGUGAGGUGGUGGCGACGGUUCGGCGGUGGCCUGGCAUUGGCGCCCUCCCCUCCUGGCGGCGGGGCUCUGCGGGACAACGUCGGCAGCAUCCGCAGCGACGGAGCAUCGGCGGCGGGGCCUCCCACUGCGGAUCCGACGUUAUCAGUAGUUAAUUUAAUCAUUUGUGUUCAUCUUGUGCAUGGUGUCAAUCCGUGUUCAUUUGUUCAUAUAUUAAUCUGUGUUCAUUUGUUCACCUUGUCCAUGGUGUCGAAGUAUCGACUCGAGCCGGGUUCCUUUUUUGUAGCUCGUGGAUUCCACUUUGGUGCCGGUUUUUAAAUGGGAUUGGUGCCGGUGCACUCAUCA